Molecule: ribosomal RNA, 725 nt
Filed under: uncultured bacterium
Lineage: Bacteria
Description: bacterial SSU rRNA
Rfam family: Bacterial small subunit ribosomal RNA
Source: RNAcentral
ACGCGAAAGGCCCCUUCGGGGGCCGAGUAGAGUGGCGUCCGGGUGAGUAACACGUAGGUAAUCUACCUCUGGGUGGGGAAUAACAGCCGGAAACGGCUGCUAAUACCGCAUAACGCAGCGGCACCACAUGGUGACAGUUGUUAAAGCGGGGGAACUUCGGUCCUCGCGCCUGGAGAGGAGCCUGCGGCGGAUUAGCUAGUUGGUAGGGUAACGGCCUACCAAGGCGACGAUCCGUAGCCGGCCUGAGAGGGCGGUCGGCCACACUGGCACUGACACACGGGCCAGACUCCUACGGGAGGCAGCAGUCGGGAAUUUUGGGCAAUGGGCGAAAGCCUGACCCAGCAACGCCGCGUGAAGGAUGAAGUUUCUCGGAAUGUAAACUUCACAAGAAUGGGAAGAAUAAGGAAGGGCUAAUACCCCUUUCGAUGACGGUACCAUUUGUAAGCUCCGGCUAACUCCGUGCCAGCAGCCGCGGUAAUACGGGGGGAGCAAGCGUUGUUCGGAUUUACUGGGCGUAAAGGGCGCGUAGGCGGCGCAACAAGUCGAUUGUGAAAUCUCCGGGCUUAACUCGGAGCGGCCAAUCGAUACUGUCGUGCUAGAGUGCGGAAGGGGCUACUGGAAUUCUCGGUGUAGCGGUGAAAUGCGUAGAUAUCGAGAGGAACACCUGCGGCGAAGGCGGGUAGCUGGGCCGACACUGACGCUGAGGCGCGAAAGCUAGGGGAGCG